RNAcentral lists this long non-coding RNA (427 nucleotides) under Ananas comosus (pineapple). Its description in RNAcentral is "long non-coding RNA (ACOM_LNC036578)". The record is from RNAcentral. Lineage: Eukaryota; Viridiplantae; Streptophyta; Magnoliopsida; Poales; Bromeliaceae.
UCAACAUACAUCUUAUAUCAUCAUUACUUGGCACAUAUUACAUGCAUUACUUAACAUCUAUCACAUGCAUUCAUUCCUUAGCAUCUUUAUCAUGGCAUUGUAUACAUUUAUUAGCAUCAUUAUAGUGCAUUCUUACUUGACAUUCUUAUUACGCAUUCUUACUUAACAUUCUUAUCAUGCAUCAAUAGUGAAACACACUACACUUUGGCAUGAAGGCGACCUAGUCGCUUCGGUAAGCACAACCCACCUUUUAACGCGUUCCGAUUGCUUGUCGUCACUUGCAAUCGGCCUCCCGCAGCACCCGUGACCCGGUUCGGCUCGAACUCUCGCGCGACCACCCGAACGGCCACCAAUCCGCGAUCCGUCUGUUCGGGAGUUUAUUCCCCGACAUUACGAUGCUCCUGAUCCAUUUUCAUGAUUUUUGGAG